ACUUAAAUUGAAGAGUUUGAUCAUGGCUCAGAUUGAACGCUGGCGGCAGGCCUAACACAUGCAAGUCGAGCGGUAGCACAGAGAGCUUGCUCUCGGGUGACGAGCGGCGGACGGGUGAGUAAUGUCUGGGAAACUGCCUGAUGGAGGGGGAUAACUACUGGAAACGGUAGCUAAUACCGCAUAACGUCGCAAGACCAAAGUGGGGGACCUUCGGGCCUCAUGCCAUCAGAUGUGCCCAGAUGGGAUUAGCUAGUAGGUGGGGUAACGGCUCACCUAGGCGACGAUCCCUAGCUGGUCUGAGAGGAUGACCAGCCAC
RNAcentral lists this ribosomal RNA (316 nucleotides) under Klebsiella pneumoniae subsp. pneumoniae KPNIH12. Its description in RNAcentral is "bacterial SSU rRNA". It matches the Rfam family "Bacterial small subunit ribosomal RNA", at positions 1 to 311 of the family's 1533-position model. The record is from RNAcentral. Lineage: Bacteria; Pseudomonadati; Pseudomonadota; Gammaproteobacteria; Enterobacterales; Enterobacteriaceae.